UGGGGAAUAUUGCACAAUGGGCGCAAGCCUGACGCAGCCAUGCCGCGUGUGUGAAGAAGGCCUUCGGGUUGUAAAGCACUUUCAGCGGGGAGGAAGGCGAUAAGGUUAAUAACCUUGUCGAUUGACGUUACCCGCAGAAGAAGCACCGGCUAACUCCGUGCCAGCAGCCGCGGUAAUACGUAGGUGGCAAGCGUUGUCCGGAUUUAUUGGGCGUAAAGCGAGCGCAGGCGGUUUCUUAAGUCUGAUGUGAAAGCCCCCGGCUCAACCGGGGAGGGUCAUUGGAAACUGGGAGACUUGAGUGCAGAAGAGGAGAGUGGAAUUCCAUGUGUAGCGGUGAAAUGCGUAGAUAUAUGGAGGAACACCAGUGGCGAAGGCGGCUCUCUGGUCUGUAACUGACGCUGAGGCUCGAAAGCGUGGGGAGCAAACAGG
RNAcentral lists this ribosomal RNA (429 nucleotides) under Chloroflexota bacterium. RNAcentral describes it as "Chloroflexi bacterium partial 16S ribosomal RNA". It matches the Rfam family "Bacterial small subunit ribosomal RNA", at positions 355 to 776 of the family's 1533-position model. The record is from RNAcentral. Lineage: Bacteria; Bacillati; Chloroflexota.